AGUGGAGCGGCAACAGCUCAAAUUUGAAAUCUGGCCCUAGGCCCGAGUUGUAAUUUGCAGAGGAUGCUUUUGGUGAGGUGCCUUCCAAGUUCCCUAGAACGGGACGCCAGAGAGGGUGAGAGCCCCGUACAGUUGGACACCAAGCCUUUGUAAAGCUCCUUCGACGAGUCGAGUAGUUUGGGAAUGCUGCUCAAAAUGGGAGGUAUAUUUCUUCUAAAGCUAAAUACCGGCCAGAGACCGAUAGCGCACAAGUAGAGUGAUCGAAAGAUGAAAAGCACUUUGAAAAGAGGGUUAAACAGCACGUGAAAUUGUUAAAAGGGAAGCGCUUGUGACCAGACUUGCGUCCGGUGAAUCACCCAGCUCUCGCGGCUGGGGCACUUCGCCGGCUCAGGCCAGCAUCAGCUCGCUGUCGGGGACAAAAGCUUCAGGAACGUAGCUCUCUUCGGGGAGUGUUAUAGCCUGUUGCAUAAUACCCUUCGGCGGGCUGAGGUACGCGCUCCGCAAGGAUGCUGGCAUAAUGGUCAUCAGCGAC
Molecule: ribosomal RNA, 532 nt
Filed under: Colletotrichum kahawae
Lineage: Eukaryota; Fungi; Ascomycota; Sordariomycetes; Glomerellales; Glomerellaceae
Description: partial large subunit ribosomal RNA
Rfam family: Eukaryotic large subunit ribosomal RNA
Source: RNAcentral